CUGCCAGGUCUGUCUGUGUGGUUGACCUGUCUCUCUACCUGACUGCCAGGUCUGUCUGUGUGGUUGACCUGUCUCUCUACACCUGACUGCCAGGUCUGUCUGUGUGGUUGACCUGUCUCUCUACACCUGACUGCCAGGUCUGUCUGUGUGGUUGACCUGUCUCUCUACCUGACUGCCAGGUCUGUCUGUGUGGUUGACCUGUCUCUCUACCUGACUGCCAGGUCUGUCUGUGUGGUUGACCUGUCUCUCUACCUGACUGCCAGGUCUGUCUGUGUGGUUGACCUGUCUCUCUACACCUGACUGCCAGGUCUGUCUGUGUGGUUGACCUGUCUCUCUACACCUGACUGCCAGGUCUGUCUGUGUGGUUGACCUGUCUCUCUACACCUGACUGC
Long non-coding RNA from Oncorhynchus keta (chum salmon), 392 nucleotides. RefSeq lists it as uncharacterized. The transcript has 3 exons. Lineage: Eukaryota; Metazoa; Chordata; Actinopteri; Salmoniformes; Salmonidae. The record is from RefSeq and is a predicted model, not a curated record.